Molecule: ribosomal RNA, 468 nt
Filed under: uncultured bacterium
Lineage: Bacteria
Description: partial 16S ribosomal RNA
Rfam family: Bacterial small subunit ribosomal RNA
Source: RNAcentral
GAUGAACGCUGACAGAAUGCUUAACACAUGCAAGUCCACUUGAAUUUGGGUUUUUUAACUUAGAUUUGGGUGGCGGACGGGUGAGUAACGCGUAAAGAACUUGCCUCACAGCUAGGGACAACAUUUGGAAACGAAUGCUAAUACCUGAUAUUAUGAUUAUAAGGCAUCUUAGAAUUAUGAAAGCUAUAUGCGCUGUGAGAGAGCUUUGCGUCCCAUUAGCUAGUUGGAGAGGUAACGGCUCACCAAGGCGAUGAUGGGUAGCCGGCCUGAGAGGGUGAACGGCCACAAGGGGACUGAGACACGGCCCUUACUCCUACGGGAGGCAACAGUGGGGAAUAUUGGACAAUGGACCAAGAGUCUGAUCCAGCAAUUCUGUGUGCACGAUGACGUUUUUCGGAAUGUAAAGUGCUUUCAGUUGGGAAGAAAAAAAUGACGGUACCAACAGAAGAAGUGACGGCUAAAUACGUG